GAUCCACUAGCUCAGGUGGUAGAGCACUUGACUUUUAAUUAAGGUGUCCCGGGUUCGAUUCCCGGGUGGAUCACCA
The sequence is a transfer RNA, 76 nucleotides long. It matches the Rfam family "tRNA". From Rfam's summary of the family: Transfer RNA (tRNA) molecules are approximately 80 nucleotides in length. Their secondary structure includes four short double-helical elements and three loops (D, anti-codon, and T loops). Further hydrogen bonds mediate the characteristic L-shaped molecular structure. tRNAs have two regions of fundamental functional importance: the anti-codon, which is responsible for specific mRNA codon recognition, and the 3' end, to which the tRNAs corresponding amino acid is attached (by aminoacyl-tRNA synthetases). tRNAs cope with the degeneracy of the genetic code in two manners: having more than one tRNA (with a specific anti-codon) for a particular amino acid; and 'wobble' base-pairing, i.e. permitting non-standard base-pairing at the 3rd anti-codon position.